RNAcentral lists this transfer RNA (85 nucleotides) under Gemmatimonas groenlandica. It matches the Rfam family "tRNA". Rfam says of the family: Transfer RNA (tRNA) molecules are approximately 80 nucleotides in length. Their secondary structure includes four short double-helical elements and three loops (D, anti-codon, and T loops). Lineage: Bacteria; Pseudomonadati; Gemmatimonadota; Gemmatimonadia; Gemmatimonadales; Gemmatimonadaceae. The record is from Rfam by way of RNAcentral.
ACCCGGAUGGCGAAACCGGUAGACGCGUGAGACUUAAAAUCUCCUGCCUCAUAAGGGCGUGCGGGUUCGAGUCCCGCUCCGGGUA